This 428-nucleotide ribosomal RNA is filed under the name Zygosaccharomyces gambellarensis. RNAcentral describes it as "eukaryotic LSU rRNA". It matches the Rfam family "Eukaryotic large subunit ribosomal RNA", at positions 121 to 556 of the family's 3401-position model. Lineage: Eukaryota; Fungi; Ascomycota; Saccharomycetes; Saccharomycetales; Saccharomycetaceae. The record is from RNAcentral.
UCUGGUACCUUGGUGCCCGAGUUGUAAUUUGGAGAAAGUGAUUCUGGGAUUAGCUCUUACCUAUGUUCCUUGGAACAGGACGUCAUAGAGGGUGAGAACCCCGUGAGGUGAGGGAUCUAAUUCUUUAUAGAGCACUUUCGAAGAGUCGAGUUGUUUGGGAAUGCAGCUCUAAGUGGGUGGUAAAUUCCAUCUAAAGCUAAAUACAGGCGAGAGACCGAUAGCGAACAAGUACAGUGAUGGAAAGAUGAAAAGAACUUUGAAAAGAGAGUGAAAAAGGACGUGAAAUUGUUGAAAGGGAAGGGCAUUUGAUCAGACAUGGUGUUUUGUGCCCCUUACUCCUUGUGGGUGAGGCUCGCAGCUCACUGGGCCAGCAUCAGUUUUGGCGGCAGGAUAAAUCCUUGGGAAUGUGACUCCUUAGUGAAUGUUAU